RNAcentral lists this ribosomal RNA (459 nucleotides) under uncultured bacterium. Its description in RNAcentral is "partial 16S ribosomal RNA". It matches the Rfam family "Bacterial small subunit ribosomal RNA", at positions 338 to 795 of the family's 1533-position model. The record is from RNAcentral.
CCUACGGGGGGCAGCAGUGAGGAAUAUUGGUCAAUGGUCGGGAGACUGAACCAGCCAAGCCGCGUGAGGGAGGAAGGUACAGAGUAUCGUAAACCUCUUUUGUCAGGGAACAAAGGCGGGGACGUGUCCCCGGAUGAGUGUACCUGAAGAAAAAGCAUCGGCUAACACCGUGCCAGCAGCCGGGGUAAUACGGGGUAUGCGAGUUUUAUCCGGUUUUAUUGGGGUAAAAGGGUGCGCAGGCGGGCUGUUAAGUCAGCGGUCAAAGCCCGGGGCUCAACCCCGGCCCGCCGUUGAAACUGGCAGUCUCGAGUUGGAGAGAAGUAUGCGGAAUGCGCGGUGGAGCGGUGAAAUGCAUAGAUAUCGCGCAGAACUCCGAUUGCGAAGGCAGCAUGCCGGCUCCACACUGACGCUGAGGCACGAAAGCGUGGGUAUCGAACAGGAUUAGAUACCCUAGUAGUC